RNAcentral lists this ribosomal RNA (494 nucleotides) under uncultured bacterium. RNAcentral's name for it is "partial 16S ribosomal RNA". It matches the Rfam family "Bacterial small subunit ribosomal RNA", at positions 28 to 507 of the family's 1533-position model. The record is from RNAcentral.
GACGAACGCUGGCGGCGUGCCUAAUACAUGCAAGUAGAACGCUGAAGGAGGAGCUUGCUUCUCCGGAUGAGUUGCGAACGGGUGAGUAACGCGUAGGUAACCUGCCUGGUAGCGGGGGAUAACUAUUGGAAACGAUAGCUAAUACCGCAUAAGAGUAGAUGUCGCAUGACAUUUGCUUAAAAGGUGCAACUGCACCACUACCAGAUGGACCUGCGUUGUAUUAGCUAGUUGGUGAGGUAACGGCUCACCAAGGCAACGAUACAUAGCCGACCUGAGAGGGGGAGUAGGCACACGGGAAAUGAGAAACGGGCCCAGACCCGAAGGGGGGCAGGAGGGGGGAAGAUUGGGACAUGGGAGGAAGGCUGAUCCAGCCAUAGCGGGGGGGGGGAGAAGGGGUUCGGGUUGGAAAGCCCCUGUGUUAGGAAAGAAAAGCAGCAGGGUAAGAAAACGUCGUUCUGAGGGGGCAUAAAAAAAAAGAACCGGCUAACUUCGUG